RNAcentral lists this ribosomal RNA (473 nucleotides) under uncultured bacterium. RNAcentral's name for it is "bacterial SSU rRNA". It matches the Rfam family "Bacterial small subunit ribosomal RNA", at positions 28 to 507 of the family's 1533-position model. The record is from RNAcentral.
GAUGAACGCUGGCGGCGUGCCUCAAACAUGCAAGUCGAGCGAGGCUAUGAAUUACCGCAAGGUAAGGCAUAGCCUAGCGGCGAACGGGUGAGUAACACGUGGAUAAUCUACCUGCAACACCGGGAUAACGCUGUGAAAACGGUGCUAAUACCGGAUACGUUCCCUUGUGCGCAUGUAUGAGGGAAGAAAGCUCAGGCGGUUGCAGAUGAGUCCGCGGCUGAUUAGCUAGUUGGCGAGGUAAAGGCUCACCAAGGCGAUGAUCAGUAGCCGGCCUGAGAGGGUGAACGGCCACACUGGGACUGAGACACGGCCCAGACUCCUACGGGAGGCAGCAGUGGGGAAUCUUCCGCAAUGGGCGCAAGCCUGACGGAGCAACGCCGCGUGGGUGAAGAAGGCCUUCGGGUUGUAAAGCCCUGUCUUAUGGGAAGAAGUCAGUGACGGUACCAUAGGAGGAAGCCACGGCUAACUACGUG